UGAAGUACAGCUCAGUGGUAGAGUACUUGCCUAGCACGCAUGAGGCUCUGGGUCAAUNCCCAGCACCACAA
RNAcentral lists this transfer RNA (71 nucleotides) under Neotoma lepida (desert woodrat). It matches the Rfam family "tRNA". From Rfam's summary of the family: Transfer RNA (tRNA) molecules are approximately 80 nucleotides in length. Their secondary structure includes four short double-helical elements and three loops (D, anti-codon, and T loops). Further hydrogen bonds mediate the characteristic L-shaped molecular structure. tRNAs have two regions of fundamental functional importance: the anti-codon, which is responsible for specific mRNA codon recognition, and the 3' end, to which the tRNAs corresponding amino acid is attached (by aminoacyl-tRNA synthetases). tRNAs cope with the degeneracy of the genetic code in two manners: having more than one tRNA (with a specific anti-codon) for a particular amino acid; and 'wobble' base-pairing, i.e. permitting non-standard base-pairing at the 3rd anti-codon position. Lineage: Eukaryota; Metazoa; Chordata; Mammalia; Rodentia; Cricetidae. The record is from Rfam by way of RNAcentral.